CACAGCAAGAAGGCAGCCGUCUACAUGCCAGGAAGAGAGCCCUUAACAGGAACUGACCCUGCCAGACCUUUACCUGCAGCUUCCAGCCAAAAGAACUAUCAGAUUUAUUUGGAGAAAACAGAAAUCCCACAACCCAAAGGAUGGGAUUUUACAUCAAGACAUCUCCCAGCUCUAUAAAUGGACUGCAGUACAGCUGACCUUGGACAGGCUUAUUUGGGCCUAACUGGGUUCUAAGCUUUCUGCUGGGUUCAGCUCUUUGUACUUCAGGCAACAACACCUGAGAGGAUUUUUCUGGCAGGCGAAAAAAUGUUUGCAAUGACUUUGAUGAUACGGUGACUGAGGUGUAUUUAUCCUUAGGUGCAUAAGCAAUGGCACACAACCAAAGACUGGCUGCUACCUUCACAUUCCUUCUAAAGGGGCUAAAAGGAAGAAGUAUGGAAAAAUGUAUCCACUCAAGUAGAAAUUUUAUAUUGAGUGUGCAGUUUUGAUUUUGAAUGUCUGAUUUUGUUUGUAGGCCAAAAAAGACUGUGAUUCCA
RNAcentral lists this long non-coding RNA (536 nucleotides) under Homo sapiens (human). RNAcentral describes it as "HSALNT0336338". Lineage: Eukaryota; Metazoa; Chordata; Mammalia; Primates; Hominidae. The record is from RNAcentral.